Molecule: ribosomal RNA, 253 nt
Filed under: uncultured bacterium
Lineage: Bacteria
Description: partial 16S ribosomal RNA
Rfam family: Bacterial small subunit ribosomal RNA
Source: RNAcentral
UACGAAGGGGGCUAGCGUUGUUCGGAAUUACUGGGCGUAAAGGGCGCGUAGGCGGGCUCGCCAGUCUGUGGUGAAAGCCCCCGGCUUAACCGGGGAAGUGCCGUGGAUACUGCGAGCCUCGAGGAGGGUAGGGGCAUCUGGAACAGCCGGUGGAGCGGUGAAAUGCGUUGAUAUCGGCUGGAACUCCGGUGGCGAAGGCGAGGUGCUGGACCCUUUCUGACGCUGAUGCGCGAAAGCCAGGGGAGCAAACGGG